GUUGAUGGCUUAUUUUCAUGUCAGAUUACCAGGAUGUCUCGGUUCGGGCAACUGCCUACCAUUUCUCAGCAUUAUAACUACCAAAGACAUUUAUGGUCUAUCAUCUGGGCUAUGUUGAACACAUAAUAAAGCCACAUGGAUUGAUCUCAACAGUUCUAUUGUCUCUUAACUCAAUCAAAGAUUCAUCUCGAAGUUCCAAUGUCUUUCCUUCU
This 212-nucleotide long non-coding RNA is filed under the name Helianthus annuus (common sunflower). RNAcentral describes it as "hypothetical non coding rna". Lineage: Eukaryota; Viridiplantae; Streptophyta; Magnoliopsida; Asterales; Asteraceae. The record is from RNAcentral.